UCAUCAUCUUCAUUAUUAUCAUCCUGCAAAAUGGGAGAUGCUGAAGCUGGCCGUUUGUGGCUUAAAGCACCUUUAGCUGCAUUAGCCUUGGCAGGUAGAGAAGCAAAUGGAUAGAUGGAAUGUUUAGCUCGAGCGGGAGAAGAAGGAUUCCUAAUGGACACAGGGAUGACCAAAAUAGGAGAAGUAGAGGGAGUGCCUGGCUGGUGCAGUAAAUGGAAGGCACGAUUAGCAUCAGCUGCAAACAAUCGACAUUUUACUGAUGGCCAAAGCUGUUCAAAAAGAGGAUGGACAGUACAUCUAGAAUUGAAAGGGGCUAAUGAAAAUUUGCUCAUCAAAAGAAUGAUGCAAGCAUCUAUAGCUUGUGCCUUUGCCUUAUUAAUAGUGUGAAAGUGGUCUGUCAAAUUUUUGGAAUAAUAGGGAGGAACAGGCCAAGUUUGGCCAAAAUCAAGUUAGCGAGCAAAAAAUUGGGGAGCAUAUAUCUCAACCCCAACUUUGGCAUUGGUUCCAGUUAAGAUAUCAUGUAACAAUUCCCUCCUAAUCAAAAACUGAACCCAAACAAGCAGAGAGAUACUCGCACUGUCUAAAGUGGAUGGAGGUUACACAUAAUCUGGAGUCAAGUGAACAGGAAAAGGAAAGAAAGAAGGAAUCGAAUUUAAGGUAUAAAAGAAUGAAAAAAUGUCCCUACUAGACAUAUUUACAGGGGUCAGUGGAUUAAUGGCUAGCCUAUAAUAGCUAGUAGAACGAAGGGAAAUGGAUGGAGCACCAAGUGGUGGAAAAUAUGCUCUCAACCACAAUUGAGUGAACCAAAGGGGGCCACUGACAGUGGGAGAUGCACCCUUCUUCAGUUGAAACUGAAGGGAAGCAAUGCCUCUAUAAAGGGCGGCUAAAAAGAAGGAACAUAAGUUCAAAGGCCUACCAUGCGCUAAUUCAUGCGCUAUGGGUAAGUAGCUCAUAGAAAGUUUCAUACUUGGCACGCAAAGAAUAUAUUUACAGAGCCAAAUCUGAAGAAAGGCCACACGCUCAGCAUGAGAAGGUUCAGCGUUUGAGUGAUUAUAAAAGCCUUGCAGGCUUGAAUAGGACUCAGUAAGUUUCUUGUCAAAUUUCGAGGCAACACUAAAAAUCAAGAUACCAGGAAAGAUGGUAUCGCCCAAAGGCGGAAGAUUUACUAGGGCUCCAACAUCCCUUAAAGUAAUAGACAUGGGACCAAGAGGGAAAACGAAGGUGUUAUACUCAGAAGACCAAAAACUCAAAGCAAUAGGAAAAAGGACUGGGUCAAAAAUCGGGGGUUGAAGAGAAAUUUCUAAUAAAUCUGAAAUCUUAGCACGAUCAAAAAUCGUCUUGGUGGGGCCAUGACUUACAAGACGUGCAUGCCAUCUACGAAAUAUCACAUCAACUUUGAGCCAAGUGCGAAUACCUUUUUCGCGAAUCGACCUCAAUGGCAGAGAGUUCAGGAAUGGAGGACCUUGAGUGCAAGGAAACAGCUGACCCACCGCCACUUGCCCAACGACUUCGG
Molecule: long non-coding RNA, 1513 nt
Filed under: Olea europaea subsp. europaea
Lineage: Eukaryota; Viridiplantae; Streptophyta; Magnoliopsida; Lamiales; Oleaceae
Source: RNAcentral